Molecule: ribosomal RNA, 756 nt
Filed under: Lasaeola convexa
Lineage: Eukaryota; Metazoa; Arthropoda; Arachnida; Araneae; Theridiidae
Description: partial large subunit ribosomal RNA
Rfam family: Eukaryotic large subunit ribosomal RNA
Source: RNAcentral
GUGGGCCCUCGAAAUCCUGUGACGGGAGGAUUCAGUCGGAAGGCGGGAGCGUGCGUGCUGAUACCAGAAUGGUUCUGCGAGGGGACCGCUUCGGCUGCACGUUUUCUCGCUGAUACGACGCAUUUCUUUCCCGUCCAAAGGACGUCGCAACCGGUUGGGAAGCGGUCUGAAAGCCGGCAGAGGUAGGUGGCCGGCGUAAGUAACUCCAUGCUUGCGUCGGUGACUUGACCUGACGGAUGUGUCUCGUAUCCCGACCGUUGUGUUACGAAACCCGCACGGGUUUCACCGUCUCCUCCUUUGCAGGAAGCCGGACUGGACGUGGCAGGGGUUCUUCGUGCUGCGGGCGCACAGGCUCAUCCUGUGGCCGCGUGGUACUGAGGCCUUGAGAUGGCUGCGCGUGUUCCGUUGGAGGCUGGCGGUUAGCGGCGAGUAGAUCGGUCACCCACCCGACCCGUCUUGAAACACGGACCAAGGAGUCUAACAUGUGUGCGAGUCAAUGGGACUCGAAUAAGCCCAGAGGCGCAAUGAAAGCAAAGGUCGGACUUGACGCCGACCGUGUUGGGAUCCUUCCGCCUUGCGCGGGAGGCGCACCAACGACCCGUCCUUUCCGACUUGUCGGUUGGGCGGAGUCUGAGCAUACACGUUGGGACCCGAAAGAUGGUGAACUAUGCCCAGGCAGAACGAAGCCAGAGGAAACUCUGAUGGAGGUUCGCAGCGGUUCUGACGUGCAAAUCGAUCGUCAGACCCAGGUAUAGG